AAACAUGUCUUUUAGAAUUUUAUUUAAAGUCUAACYUGCCCACUGAAUUAUUUUAAAUGGCCGCAGUAAUUUGACUGUGCAAAGGUAGCAUAAUCAUUAGUCUUUUAAUUGAAGGCUUGAAUGAACGGUUGGACGAAGUAUAAGCUGUUUCAUAUAAAUUUAUAUUAGAAUUUUAUAUUUUAGUAAAAAAGCUAAAAUUUUAUUAAAAGACGAGAAGACCCUAUAAAUCUUUAUAUUUUUUAUUAUUUAAGUAUUUUAAAUUUAUUUAAUUUUUAUAAUAAAAAAUAUUUUGUUGGGGUGAUAUUAAAAUUUAAUUAACUUUUAAUUUUUGAAAUCAUUAAUUUAUGAAUUAUUGAUCCAUUAGUAUUGAUUAUAAGAUUAAGUUACUUUAGGGA
Molecule: ribosomal RNA, 395 nt
Filed under: Anastrepha curvicauda (papaya fruit fly)
Lineage: Eukaryota; Metazoa; Arthropoda; Insecta; Diptera; Tephritidae
Description: partial small subunit ribosomal RNA
Source: RNAcentral